AGAGUUUGAUCCUGGCUCAGGAUGAACGCUGGCGGCGUGCUAUACAUGCAAGUCGAGCGAACAGAUGAGGAGCUUGCUCCUUUGACGUUAGCGGCGGACGGGUGAGUAACACGUAGGUAACCUACCUAUAAGACUGGGAUAACUUCGGGAAACCGGAGCUAAUACCGGAUAAUAUUUCGAACUGCAUGGUUCGAUAGUGAAAGAUGGCUUUGCUAUCACUUAUAGAUGGACCUGCGCCGUAUUAGCUAGUUGGUAAGGUAACGGCUUACCAAGGCAACGAUACGUAGCCGACCUGAGAGGGUGAUCGGCCACACUGGAACUGAGACACGGUCCAGACUCCUACGGGAGGCAGCAGUAGGGAAUCUUCCGCAAUGGGCGCAAGCCUGACGGAGCAACGCCGCGUGAGUGAUGAAGGUCUUCGGAUCGUAAAACUCUGUUAUUAGGGAAGAACAAACGUGUAAGUAACUGUGCACGUCUUGACGGUACCUAAUCAGAAAGCCACGGCUAACUACGUGCCAGCAGCCGCGGUAAUACGUAGGUGGCAAGCGUUAUCCGGAAUUAUUGGGCGUAAAGCGCGCGUAGGCGGUUUUUUAAGUCUGAUGUGAAAGCCCACGGCUCAACCGUGGAGGGUCAUUGGAAACUGGAAAACUUGAGUGCAGAAGAGGAAAGUGGAAUUCCAUGUGUAGCGGUGAAAUGCGCAGAGAUAUGGAGGAACACCAGUGGCGAAGGCGACUUUCUGGUCUGUAACUGACGCUGAUGUGCGAAAGCGUGGGGAUCAAACAGGAUUAGAUACCCUGGUAGUCCACGCCGUAAACGAUGAGUGCUAAGUGUUAGGGGGUUUCCGCCCCUUAGUGCUGCAGCUAACGCAUUAAGCACUCCGCCUGGGGAGUACGACCGCAAGGUUGAAACUCAAAGGAAUUGACGG
This 925-nucleotide ribosomal RNA is filed under the name uncultured bacterium. Its description in RNAcentral is "bacterial SSU rRNA". It matches the Rfam family "Bacterial small subunit ribosomal RNA", at positions 8 to 916 of the family's 1533-position model. The record is from RNAcentral.